UACGGAGGGUGCAAGCGUUGUUCGGAUUUAUUGGGCGUAAAGCGCGUGUAGGCGGUUUCUUAAGUCUGAUGUGAAAGCCCUGGGCUCAACCCAGGAAGUGCAUUGGAUACUGGGAGGCUUGAAUACGGGAGAGGGUAGUGGAAUUCCUAGUGUAGGAGUGAAAUCCGUAGAUAUUAGGAGGAACACCGGUGGCGAAGGCGGCUACCUGGACCGAUAUUGACGCUGAGACGCGAAAGCGUGGGGAGCAAACAGG
Molecule: ribosomal RNA, 253 nt
Filed under: uncultured bacterium
Lineage: Bacteria
Description: partial 16S ribosomal RNA
Rfam family: Bacterial small subunit ribosomal RNA
Source: RNAcentral